Molecule: ribosomal RNA, 455 nt
Filed under: uncultured bacterium
Lineage: Bacteria
Description: bacterial SSU rRNA
Rfam family: Bacterial small subunit ribosomal RNA
Source: RNAcentral
UACGGAGGGCAGCAGUGGGGAAUAUUGCACAAUGGGCGCAAGCCUGAUGCAGCCAUGCCGCGUGUAUGAAAAAGGCCUUCGGGUUGUAAAGUACUUUCAGUCGUGAGGAAGGUGUUAAGGUUAAUAACCUUAGCAAUUGACGUUAGCGACAGAAGAAGCACCGGCUAACUCCGUGCCAGCAGCCGCGGUAAUACGGAGGGUGCGAGCGUUAAUCGGAAUUACUGGGCGUAAAGGGCACGCAGGCGGUUAAUUAAGUUGGAUGUGAAAUCCCCGGGCUUAACCUGGGAAUGGCAUUCAAGACUGGUUAGCUAGAGUCUUGUAGAGGGGGGUAGAAUUCCAUGUGUAGCGGUGAAAUGCGUAGAGAUGUGGAGGAAUACCGGUGGCGAAGGCGGCCCCUGGGACAAAGACUGACGCUCAUGUGCGAAAGCGUGGGGAGCAAACAGGGAUUAGAUACC